This 2445-nucleotide ribosomal RNA is filed under the name Triticum aestivum (bread wheat). RNAcentral describes it as "partial small subunit ribosomal RNA". The record is from RNAcentral. Lineage: Eukaryota; Viridiplantae; Streptophyta; Magnoliopsida; Poales; Poaceae.
GGGGAGGGGGUGAGAGGAGAGAAUGGGCUAGGGGAGGGUUGGGAUCGUCGGCGGCGGCGCGAGAGCAGGAGGAGGGGAGGAGGGGAUGCGACGCAGGAGGACGGGAGGAGGGGAUGCGAGACGUCAUCACGCCCGGCGGCGGAGUGUCAUGCUCCACCCCGAUGUUGGUGUUGGGGUCGCGGAGAAGACGUGUCGGCACGCUGAGCUCUGCCGUUCUAGGUCGGCACUGCCGGCUCUAAGUAGAGCGACCGUGCGAGGAGACGGGAAGGACUAGGACUGGUGUUACCAUUACGCGCGCGCCGGUAGGGAGGGUCGCACCACCACCUGCUUCCUCCACGUGUAGAGGCCGUUCCAGUAGCAAGGAGGGAGGCCUAGGCAAGACCGCGUUCCACCGGUGAUCCCACGUCGUGAGAGGCAGGAUUCCGCGGUUGACGGUGGUGGUACGAGGGGGCUUCGCCGCGGUCUCAACCUAUACCGAUGCCCCCGCACCUACACCUCGCCGCGGUUUUGACCAGAUCUCGCCGCGGCCUCGCCGCCUAGACUGCUCAGCCUCGUCGUCUCGCCGCGGCCUCGGAGGUGUAACAGCAACAGGAGUGCGUAGGUGCGUACCCACUUACGAAGAAAACAGGACAAGUGAGCCAGUAGCCUGUUUGGGAUCGGACGAAGCUGACUAAAGGAAGAUACGAGCCAACAAACUACCCAAGCAAAGAGCAGCCGCCCUACCACGUUCCGCGUUGAGGCUGCGCCAAGGAGCGGCCAACCUGCCACAAGUCCGUGUUGGGGCCGCGCGUGACUCAUGACGGAGCCGAUGUCGGAGGGAGCCCCUUCUGACAGCUUCAACCAUCUCAGGUGAAACGAUGACUUUUAUGUUCUAAGUGAUAGAAGCUACGUGGCCAAGAAAAGAAAGUGUAAAAUGCAGCUACGAGGAUACAGAACCAAAUAAAAAGAACGUACGGUGACAAUACGAAGAGACCUAAUAGAUACUAAAACACUGGUGUGGUCGUAAGACUCCCGGUCGGAUAUCAAACUUGACAUGUUCUAACAUCAGAAAAAAAGAACGGUUUAGAUAAGACCAUUACCAGUUAGAUAUAAUAAGCUGGUACGUAGUAUACUCCCAAGUUUAUAUAUCUAAAAACAACAAUGGAAUAUAAAAAUAGUCUUAUUCCUACUUGGAACUUAAUACAUGGAAGGUUCGGGUACAAAAACUAGAAAUACGUCAAACAACACAUUAAGAUUACCCGUGGAUACAUCUAAAAACAUAGGACUAGUAUCCUUUUAAACGAAACAUAAUAAUACCCUACACAAUAGAGAAUAGAGUUACCGGUGAGAGAAUAAACUACACGGGUGUACGAAAAAACUACCUACGCUGGACAAUACACCUAACCUGAAUCCGUCACACGCCGUUCGACGUGAUGAAUGGACAAUUACAUGAAGAAUUGUAAUCCCGUAGCAUACAACUUUUCCCUUUUACUGUCACGAGAAUUUUAUACGGAUACGAUUAUACCUGUAUGCUCAGUGUACACGUGGACGAGUUACUUCGGAAAUUUUCGGAAUAGUAAAAAAGAAAUACAUCUACUGGACUUCCGUACACAAUACAGCCUACCGUCGACAAGGAUACGACUUCAAUAAAAAAGAGAAGGGAAAGAAGGUAAUAAAAGUACACAAAGUUAAUCUUCUUAAUAUAAAAUAACAACACGGAUGACUAAUUGAUCUUGUUCAACUCGGUUAUAAAUCUGCAUCCUCAGUCGUAAUUAUCAAAUACUCAUUACGAAUAUCAAAUGACAGUUGAUGAAAAAUGAGUACUCGUAUAUAUCUAACACUGGUAUUAACACCCGUAAUGCCCUCCGUUGAGUGACCUAUUUAUAUUACCUGAGACCCACCACUUAAACCAUCGAAAGCUUUACCCGGAAUGAGAGACCAAAAAGGAAGGUGCUGUUGUUCCACAUCCUCAGCCGUGCUGCGACACAUUCCAUGACUACUAGAGACUGUACUCUAUGAAUACACUAAGAUUGCAGCUACAGAGGGAAUCGUUCGUAUUGUUACACGCGACCAGCUGACCUUCAGUUCCAAGACCGGCUAACUAAAUACAGAACUUAAAGGAAUAUAAAAGGAAACACGAGUAGUUAGGGCACUCAAUAACAUGUACGUGGGGGUAAGAAUACGACUUCUUAUUUUUUUACACUUACUAAAACAUUCUCAAGCCUCAUGAUACCCGAAAAGAUUUCUAAGUGUGGUGUAGCUGAAGACCUCGUCCGUAAGUGGAAUUACGUCCCCCACAUACCAACCAUUGUUAGAAGAGUACAAUUAAAUCGGAAACGGGUUAAUUUUAGGUGGUCAUGAAGUACCGGACCAACACAAACUGGGGAAGAACGACUCAUGAAGUACCGGACCAAUACAAAAUGGGGAAGCACCACGACUGACCACACUACAGGGUCAAUCUCGGAC